Molecule: non-coding RNA, 73 nt
Organism: Parelaphostrongylus tenuis
Lineage: Eukaryota; Metazoa; Nematoda; Chromadorea; Rhabditida; Metastrongylidae
Source: the annotation of a GenBank genome assembly
GCGUCGGUGGUGCAACGGUUUAGCACAUGCUCCCGGAAAGAGUAGGAUCUGGGUUCGAACUCAGGCUGACGCA